Molecule: non-coding RNA, 340 nt
Organism: Oryzias latipes (Japanese medaka)
Lineage: Eukaryota; Metazoa; Chordata; Actinopteri; Beloniformes; Adrianichthyidae
Source: RefSeq, a predicted model, not a curated record
CUGGCCCAAGUUGAUAACGCACAUACGUCUAGUAUAUCCUUUGUAUUCAUGACGUGCUCCACGAGUUUUGAACCGGCGGUGCGUUUGAAAAAUAAGAGCGGAGAUGUGAGCUGAGUUUCAUCGCAUCACAAAUGUCAACCUGCAAAAACAGUUUUAUUUUGACCUGGACAGACAGACGCAGAGGAUGCUGAUCUUUUUGAGACAGAAGGCAGCACGAACCGGAAGGCUCUAUGCGACAUUCUGCACCUCUAUGAUAAACAGGUGAGGUGUAACUGCAUGGCAUGAUCAACAUUAUGCAUUAGUAUAGCUAAAAGAAGGGGCUGACUUGGAUCGGUUUAUA